UAAUACGAAGGGUGCAAGCGUUAAUCGGAAUUACUGGGCGUAAAGCGCGCGUAGGCGGUUUGAUAAGUGAGAUGUGAAAUCCCCGGGCUCAACCUGGGAACUGCAUCUCAUACUGUCAGGCUAGAGUACGGUAGAGGGGGGUAGAAUUCCACGUGUAGCGGUGAAAUGCGUAGAGAUGUGGAGGAAUACCAGUGGCGAAGGCGGCCCCCUGGAUCGAUACUGACGCUGAGGUGCGAAAGCGUGGGGAGCAAACAGG
This 256-nucleotide ribosomal RNA is filed under the name uncultured bacterium. Its description in RNAcentral is "partial 16S ribosomal RNA". It matches the Rfam family "Bacterial small subunit ribosomal RNA", at positions 521 to 776 of the family's 1533-position model. The record is from RNAcentral.